UACGUAGGGCGCAAGCGUUAUCCGGAAUUAUUGGGCGUAAAGCGCGCGCAGGCGGUCCUUUAAGUCUGAUGUGAAAGCCCACGGCUCAACCGUGGAGGGUCAUUGGAAACUGGGGGGACUUGAGUACAGAAGAGAAGAGUGGAAUUCCACGUGUAGCGGUGAAAUGCGUAGAGAUGUGGAGGAACACCAGUGGCGAAGGCGACUCUUUGGUCUGUAACUGACGCUGAGGCGCGAAAGCGUGGGGAGCAAACAGG
This 254-nucleotide ribosomal RNA is filed under the name uncultured bacterium. RNAcentral describes it as "partial 16S ribosomal RNA". It matches the Rfam family "Bacterial small subunit ribosomal RNA", at positions 524 to 776 of the family's 1533-position model. The record is from RNAcentral.